RNAcentral lists this ribosomal RNA (466 nucleotides) under uncultured bacterium. RNAcentral describes it as "bacterial SSU rRNA". It matches the Rfam family "Bacterial small subunit ribosomal RNA", at positions 53 to 518 of the family's 1533-position model. The record is from RNAcentral.
ACAUGCAAGUCGAGGGUAGGCAGGGUAGCAUACCGCUGAGACCGGCGCACGGGUGAGUAACACGUAUCCAACCUUCCCAUAACUCAGGGAUAGCCUUUCGAAAGAAAGAUUAAUACCUGAUAGUACUUUUUCUAAGGCAUCUUGAGAAGUUAAAGAUUUAUUGGUUAUGGAUGGGGAUGCGUUCCAUUAGAUAGUUGGUGAGGUAACGGCUCACCAAGUCUUCGAUGGAUAGGGGUUCUGAGAGGAAGGUCCCCCACAUUGGUACUGAGACACGGACCAAACUCCUACGGGAGGCAGCAGUGAGGAAUAUUGGUCAAUGGGCGAGAGCCUGAACCAGCCAAGUAGCGUGAAGGAUGAAGGUCCUAUGGAUUGUAAACUUCUUUUAUAGUAGAAUAAAGUGAUCCACGUGUGGAUUUUUGUAUGUAUACUAUGAAUAAGGAUCGGCUAACUCCGUGCCAGCCGCUGC